AGUAACCUGCCCCUUACUCUGGGAUAAGUCCGUGAAACCGGUGCUAAUACCUGAUACGACCCGAGCGGGCAUCCGCAUCGGGUGGAAAGUUUUUCGGUUUGGGAUGGACUCGCGGCCUAUCAGCUUGUUGGUGGGGUAAUGGCCCACCAAGGCGACGACGGGUAGCCGGCGUGAGAGGGCGACCGGCCACACUGGGACUGAGACACGGCCCAGACUCAUACGGGAGGCAGCAGUGGGGAAUAUUGCACAAUGGGCGAAAGCCUGAUGCAGCGACGCCGCCUGAGGGAUGACGGCCUUCGGGUUGUAAACCUCUUCCAGCAGGGAAGUAGCUUUUGUGACGGUACCUGCAGAAGAAGCACCGGCUAACUACGUGCCAGCAGCCGCGGUAAUACGUAGGGUGCGAGCGUUGUCCGGAAUUAUUGGGCGUAAAGAGCUUGUAGGCGGUUUGUCGCGUCUGCUGUGAAAACUCGGGGCUUAACCCCGAGCUUGCAGUGGGUACGGGCAGACUAGAGUAUGGUAGGGGAGACUGGAAUUCCUGGUGUAGCGGUGGAAUGCGCAGAUAUCAGGAGGAACACCGAUGGCGAAGGCAGGUCUCUGGGCCAUAACUGACGCUGAGAAGCGAAAGCAUGGGUAGCGAAUGGGAUUAGAUACCCCAGUAGU
This 660-nucleotide ribosomal RNA is filed under the name uncultured Ornithinicoccus sp. Its description in RNAcentral is "bacterial SSU rRNA". It matches the Rfam family "Bacterial small subunit ribosomal RNA", at positions 120 to 794 of the family's 1533-position model. Lineage: Bacteria; Bacillati; Actinomycetota; Actinomycetes; Micrococcales; Intrasporangiaceae. The record is from RNAcentral.